Molecule: long non-coding RNA, 741 nt
Organism: Apodemus sylvaticus (European woodmouse)
Lineage: Eukaryota; Metazoa; Chordata; Mammalia; Rodentia; Muridae
Exons: 2
Source: RefSeq, a predicted model, not a curated record
UUUGGGGAGUUUAGGAAGUGGAGCAGCGCCCUCUUGAGGCCAUAAGACGGAGGUGCUGGGGAGGAGGUGCACCAAAGGUUUGCCGAAUCAAGCCAGGUAGCCAUUUACAAAGCCAAAGGACCAUCGGCUCCGUUUUUCUAAAAACUGGCCUCACCAUAGAAGGACAUGUAUCUUGGGACAGAGCUUCAGAAAAUCUUUGCGAGCUUUUGUUGUUGUUGGUGGUGCUUCCAGGUGGAGAAGUUUGGCCGAGGAAAGGAUUCAAAGUGAUCCCUCAGGGUCCUGUAUUCCAGACGUUUAUGGGUCUCCUUGAGCGCAAAGGGUCUCACACUCACUGAGUUUCUCUAAAGAGGCUGAUGGCAACUGCUCUUGGAGCCCAUCCUGACGACAUAGAUUUUGGCACAGCCCAGCUCUGCAGAAUACAUGUCUCAAUGGACAAGUUUGGGAAUCUGUACUGCUACCCUGUUCGCUAUUCGGUUUACCGGCAGACUUUAUAGAAGCGCUGCUGUGGCCUGCCUAGGACCCAGCCCUGACCGCUGUGGCCGUUAGGGACUUCUGCAGUCCAAUCUCCCAUCCGCACCCAGCUAACUGCUGCCUCUUUUUCUCACUUAGAAGAUUGAAGCCAUCUGUUGUGAGCUUCCUGCAUUUCCUGCCCCCACCCUCAGCAGUCUCCACAGUUCCCAGUCAGCCUCCUUCUCCUUUCUAAGAAAAUAAACAUCUUCCCAUGGCUGGAUUUCUACCCUC